UCCUCCAAACACCACAAAGACAAAAAGAAAGAUCGCAAAAAAGAUCGCAAAGAAGAGAAGAAAAGCAGAAAAAAAUAAUUGCCGAGUUUAAACCAACGCGCGCGUGUGCUCACGUGUUUGAAUAAAUUCUUUUUGUU
This 137-nucleotide non-coding RNA is filed under the name Pessonella sp. PRA-29. Lineage: Eukaryota; Discosea; Flabellinia; Vannellidae. The record is from RNAcentral.